RNAcentral lists this ribosomal RNA (494 nucleotides) under uncultured bacterium. Its description in RNAcentral is "partial 16S ribosomal RNA". It matches the Rfam family "Bacterial small subunit ribosomal RNA", at positions 28 to 507 of the family's 1533-position model. The record is from RNAcentral.
GACGAACGCUGGCGGCGUGCUUAACACAUGCAAGUCGAACGGAAAGGCCUGCUUUCCCUUGUGGAUUGCGGGUACUCGAGUGGCGAACGGGUGCGUAACACGUGAGUGAUCUGCCCCCAACUUGGGUAUAAGCCUGGGAAACUGGGUCUAAUUCCCGAUAGGACUGCAGGGUGGUGCCUGUGGUGGAAAACGAUUUUCUAGUGGUUGGGGAUGAGCUCGCGGCCUAUCAGCUUGUUGGUGGGGUAAUGGCCUACCAAGGCGGCGACGGGUAGCCGGCCUGGGAGGGUGGACGGCCACAUUGGGACUGAGAUACGGCCCAGACUCCUACGGGAGGCAGCAGUGGGGAAUAUUGCACAAUGGGCGGAAGCCUGAUGCAGCGACGCCGCGUGGGGGAUGACGGCCUUCGGGUUGUAAACUCCUUUCGACCGCGAGGAAGCCACCUGGUUGGAAGGGUGGUGACGGUAGUGGUAGAAGAAGCACCGGCUAACUACGUG